Molecule: non-coding RNA, 189 nt
Filed under: Bacillus sp. (in: firmicutes)
Lineage: Bacteria; Bacillati; Bacillota; Bacilli; Caryophanales; Bacillaceae
Description: Bacillus sp. T-box sequence
Rfam family: T-box leader
About the family: Uncharged tRNA acts as the effector for transcription antitermination of genes in the T-box leader family. T-boxes are found upstream of many aminoacyl-tRNA synthetase genes and some amino acid biosynthetic genes usually in Gram-positive bacteria.
Source: RNAcentral
GAAUUAGCGAAGAACAGGAUUAGUAGCAACUUGGAUGGAAAAAAGAGAUCUAAUGGUAGGUGUGAAUUAGACCAGAAAAGAAGCGAAAUACAACCUGGGAGCUAAAACGAGUCAUUCACGUUACGAAUCUAGAGAGUAUGAAGAAGUUCAUAAAGCGAGGGUGGUACCGCGGCAGUAGUCGUCCCUUGU